UUUUUUUUUUUUUUUUUUAGAUUUUUUUUUUUAUUGGUGUUCAAUUUACUAACUACAGAAUAACACCCAGUGCCCGUCACCCAUUCACUCCCCCCCCGCCCCCUCCUCCCUUCCACCACCCCUAGUUCGUUUCCCAGAGUUAGCAGUCUUUAUGUUCUGUCUCCCUUUCUGAUAUUUCCCACACAUUUCUUCUCCCUUCCCUUUUUUUCCCCUUUUACUAUUUUUUAUAUUUCCCCAAUGAAUGAGAACAUAUAAGUUUGUCCUUCUCCGACUGACUUACUUCACUCAGCAAAUACCCUCCAGUUCCAUCCACGUUGAAGCAAAUGGUGGGUAUUUUUUCAUUUCUAAUAGCUGAGUAAUAUUCCAUUGUAUAAAAUAAACCACAUCUUCUUUAUCCAUUCAUCUUUGUUGGACACCGAGGCUCCUUCCACAGUUUGGCUAUCGUGGCCAUUGCCCGCUAGAAACAUCGGGGUGCAGGUGUCCCAGCGUUUCAUUGCAUUUGUAUCUUUGGGGUAAAUCCCCCAAAAGUGCAAUUUCUGGGUCGUAGGGCAGGUAUAUUUUUAACUGUUUGAGGAACCUCCACACAGUUUUCCACAGUGGCUGCACCAGUUCACUUUUCCCCCCAACAGUGUAAGAGGGUUCCCUUUUCUCCACAUCCUCUCCAACAUUUGUUGUUUCCUGCCUUGUUAAUUUUUCCCAUUCUCACUGGUGUGAGGUGGUAUUCAUUGUGGUUUUGAUUUGGGAUUUCCCUGAUGGCAAGUGAUGCAGGCAUUUUCUCAUGUGCAUGUUGGCCAUGUCUAUGUCUUCUUCUGUGAGAUUUCUGUUCAUGUCUUUUGCCCAUUUCAUGAUUGGGUUGUUUUUUCUUUGGUGUUGAGUUUAAUAAGUUCUUUAUAGAUCUUGGAAACUAGCCCUUUAUCUGAUAUGUCAUUUGCAAAUAUCUUCUCCCAUUCUGUAGGUUGUCUUUGAGUUUUGUUGACUGUAUCCUUUGCUUUGCUAAAGCUUCUUAUCUUGAUGAAGUCCCAAUAGUUCAUUUUUGCUUUUGUUUCUUUUGCCUUCGUGGAUGUAUCUUGCAAGAAGUUACUAUGGCCGAGUUCAAAAAGGGUGUUGCCUGUGUUUCUUCUCUAGGAUUUUGAUGGAAUCUUGUCUCACAUUUAGAUCUUUCAUCCAUUUUGAGUUUAUCUUUGUGUAGGGUGAAAGAGAGUGGUCUAGUUUCAUUCUUCUGCAUGUGGAUGUCCAAUUUUCCCAGCACCAUUUAUUGAAGAGAACUGUCUUUCUUCCAAUGGAUAGUCUUUCCUCCUUUAUCGAAUAUUAGUUGCCCAUAAAGUUCAGGGUCCACUUCUGGAUUCUCUAUUCUGUUCCACUGAUCUAUGUGUCUGUUUUUGUGCCAGUACCACACUGUCUUGAUGACCACAGCUUUGUAGUACAACCUGAAAUCUGGCAUUGUGAUGCCCCCAGAUAUGGUUUUCUUUUUUAAAAUUCCCCUGGCUAUUCGGGGUCUUUUCUGAUUCCACACAAAUCUUAAAAUAAUUUGUUCUAACUCUCUGAAGAAAGUCCAUGGUAUUUUGAUAGGGAUUGCAUUAAUGUGUAUAUUGCCCUGGGUAACAUUGACAUUUUCACAAUAUUAAUUCUGCCAAUCCAUGAGCAUGGAAUAUUUUUCCAUCUCUGUGUCUUCCUCAAUUUCUUUCAGAAGUGUUCUAUAGUUUUGAGGGUAUAGAUCCUUUACAUCUUUGGUGAGGUUUAUUCCUAGGUAUCUUAUGCUUUUGGGUGCAAUUGUAAAUGGGAUUGACUCCUUAAUUUCUCUUUCUUCAGUCUCAUUGUAGUGUAUAGAAAUGCCACUGACUUCUGGGCAUUGAUUUUGUAUCCUGCCACGCUACCGAAUUGCUGUAUGAGUUCUAGCAAUCUUGGGGUGGAGACUUUUGGGUUUUCUAUGUAGAGUAUCAUGUCAUCGGCGAAGAGGGAGAGUUUGACUUCUUCUUUGCCAAUUUGAAUGCCUUUAAUGUCUUUUUGUUGUCUGAUUGCUGAGGCUAGGACUUCCAGUACUAUGUUGAAUAGCAGUGGUGAGAGUGGACAUCCCUGUCUUGUUCCUGAUCUUAGGGGAAAGGCUCCCAGUGCUUCCCCAUUGAGAAUGAUAUUUGCUGUGGGCUUUUCAUAGAUGGCUUUUAAGAUGUCGAGGAAUGUUCCCUCUAUCCCUACACUCUGAAGAGUUUUGAUCAGGAAUGGAUGCUGUAUUUUGUCAAAUGCUUUCUCUGCAUCCAAUGAGAGGAUCAUAUGGUUCUUGGUUUUUCUCUUGCUGAUAUGAUGAAUCACAUUGAUUGUUUUACGGGUGUUGAACCAGCCUUGUGUCCCAGGGAUAAAUCCUACUUGGUCAUGGUGAAUAAUUUUCUUAAUGUACUGUUGGAUCCUAUUGGCCAGUAUCUUGUUGAGAAUUUUUGCAUCCAUGUUCAUCAGGGAUAUUGGUCUGUAAUUCUCCUUUUUGGCGGGGUCUUUGUCUGGCUUUGGAAUUAAGGUGAUGCUGGCUUCAUAGAACGAAUUUGGAAGUACUCCAUCUCUUUCUAUCUUUCCAAACAGCUUUAGGAGAAUAGGUAUGAUUUCUUCUUUAAACGUUUG
This 2607-nucleotide long non-coding RNA is filed under the name Canis lupus familiaris (dog). Its description in RNAcentral is "lncRNA (ENSCAFG00000054152.1)". The record is from RNAcentral. Lineage: Eukaryota; Metazoa; Chordata; Mammalia; Carnivora; Canidae.